Non-coding RNA from Desulfobacteraceae bacterium 4572_88, 83 nucleotides. The record is from Rfam. NCBI's taxonomy places the organism in Bacteria, Pseudomonadati, Thermodesulfobacteriota, Desulfobacteria, Desulfobacterales, Desulfobacteraceae.
CCCUGUUUUCUGCAACAGGUAUCCUGUCAGGAUGUGCGUCCUGAGUAAUCGGGGGGUGCAAAGCUCCUGAAGCGUUCGAGUUU